Molecule: microRNA, 22 nt
Filed under: Homo sapiens (human)
Lineage: Eukaryota; Metazoa; Chordata; Mammalia; Primates; Hominidae
Description: hsa-miR-6811-5p
Source: miRBase by way of RNAcentral
AUGCAGGCCUGUGUACAGCACU